Molecule: ribosomal RNA, 253 nt
Filed under: uncultured bacterium
Lineage: Bacteria
Description: partial 16S ribosomal RNA
Rfam family: Bacterial small subunit ribosomal RNA
Source: RNAcentral
UACGUAGGGUGCAAGCGUUGUCCGGAAUUAUUGGGCGUAAAGAGCUCGUAGGCGGUCAGUCGCGUCUGCUGUGAAAUUUCGGGGCUCAACCCCGAACUUGCAGUGGGUACGGGCAGACUAGAGUGUGGUAGGGGAGACUGGAAUUCCUGGUGUAGCGGUGAAAUGCGCAGAUAUCAGGAGGAACACCGAUGGCGAAGGCGGUUCUCUGGGCCUGUACUGACGCUGAGGAACGAAAGCGUGGGGAGCGAACAGG